Molecule: ribosomal RNA, 401 nt
Filed under: uncultured bacterium
Lineage: Bacteria
Description: bacterial SSU rRNA
Rfam family: Bacterial small subunit ribosomal RNA
Source: RNAcentral
GGGGAAUAUUGGACAAUGGGCGAAAGCCUGAUCCAGCAAUGCCGCGUGGAUGAAGAAGGUUUUCGGAUUGUAAAGUCCUUUCGGCGGGGACGAUGAUGACGGUACCCGCAGAAGAAGCCCCGGCUAACUUCGUGCCAGCAGCCGCGGUAAUACGAAGGGGGCUAGCGUUGCUCGGAAUGACUGGGCGUAAAGGGCGCGUAGGCGGUUUGCACAGUCAGAUGUGAAAUUCCUGGGCUUAACCUGGGGGCUGCAUUUGAUACGUGUAGGCUUGAGUGGGGAAGAGGGUCGUGGAAUUCCCAGUGUAGAGGUGAAAUUCGUAGAUAUUGGGAAGAACACCGGUGGCGAAGGCGGCGACCUGGUCCUUGACUGACGCUGAGGCGCGAAAGCGUGGGGAGCAAACA